UACGAAGGGUGCAAGCGUUGUUCGGAAUCAUUGGCGUAAAGCGCGCGCAGGCGGAUCAGCAAGUCAGAGUGUGAAAUCUCGAAGCUCAACUUCGAAACUGCGUCUGAAACUGCUAGUCUAGAAUGUCGGAGGGGGCAGGGGAAUUUCACGUGUAGGGGUAAAAUCCGUAGAGAUGUGAAGGAACACCGGAGGCGAAGGCGCCUGCC
Molecule: ribosomal RNA, 206 nt
Filed under: uncultured bacterium
Lineage: Bacteria
Description: partial 16S ribosomal RNA
Rfam family: Bacterial small subunit ribosomal RNA
Source: RNAcentral